UACGGGGGGAGCAAGCGUUGUUCGGAUUUACUGGGCGUAAAGGGCGCGUAGGCGGCACGACAAGUCACUUGUGAAAUCUGGAGGCUUAACCUCCAGCGGCCAAGUGAAACUGUUGAGCUCGAGUGCAGAAGGGGCCACUGGAAUUCUCGGUGUAGCGGUGAAAUGCGUAGAUAUCGAGAGGAACACCUGCGGCGAAGGCGGGUGGCUGGGCUGACACUGACGCUGAGGCGCGAAAGCUAGGGGAGCGAACGGG
This 253-nucleotide ribosomal RNA is filed under the name uncultured bacterium. RNAcentral's name for it is "partial 16S ribosomal RNA". It matches the Rfam family "Bacterial small subunit ribosomal RNA", at positions 524 to 776 of the family's 1533-position model. The record is from RNAcentral.